This 133-nucleotide small nuclear RNA is filed under the name Myotis davidii. Its description in RNAcentral is "U4 spliceosomal RNA". It matches the Rfam family "U4 spliceosomal RNA". From Rfam's summary of the family: U4 small nuclear RNA (U4 snRNA) is a component of the major U2-dependent spliceosome. The structure of U4 snRNA from yeast and human has been reported. Lineage: Eukaryota; Metazoa; Chordata; Mammalia; Chiroptera; Vespertilionidae. The record is from Rfam by way of RNAcentral.
AGCUUUGUGCAGUGGCAGUGUCGUAGCCAAUGAGGUUUAUCUGAGGCAUGGUUUUUGCUAAAACAAACAAGUAAACAAUAUAACAUCCUAUAAAAGCUUUGAUUAAAGCAUAAACAUUUUAAUAUUUUAAAAA